This 579-nucleotide ribosomal RNA is filed under the name Lactarius hatsudake. RNAcentral describes it as "eukaryotic LSU rRNA". The stretch from base 165 to 318 matches the Rfam family "5.8S ribosomal RNA". Lineage: Eukaryota; Fungi; Basidiomycota; Agaricomycetes; Russulales; Russulaceae. The record is from RNAcentral.
CAAAAGUCGUGCACGCCGGAGCACGUCCUCUCUCUCACAUAAAAUCCAUCUCACCCUUUUGUGCACCACCGCGCGGGCACCCUUUGGGAUGCUUGCGUUUUCACACAAACCCCUUUUAAAAAAGUGUAGAAUGACCCCACUUUGCGAUGACACGCAAUCAAUACAACUUUCAACAACGGAUCUCUUGGCUCUCGCAUCGAUGAAGAACGCAGCGAAAUGCGAUACGUAAUGUGAAUUGCAGAAUUCAGUGAAUCAUCGAAUCUUUGAACGCACCUUGCGCCCCUUGGUAUUCCGAGGGGCACACCCGUUUGAGUGUCGUGAAAAUCUCAACCUUCUCGGUUUUCUUCUGGACACCGAAGGAGGCUUGGACUUUGGAGGCCUUUGCUGGCGUCUCUCUAGAGCCAGCUCCUCUUAAAUGAAUUAGCGGGGUCCUCUUUGCCGAUCCUUGACAUGUGAUAAGAUGUUUCCAUGACUCGGUUUCUGGCUCUGUUGCAUUUGGGACCUGCUUCUAACCGUCUCGACGAGACGAUGUUUGGGAGUGUCUCCCUUCUCGGGAGACCUCUCUCGACCCCACGAACC